Molecule: ribosomal RNA, 449 nt
Filed under: uncultured bacterium
Lineage: Bacteria
Description: partial 16S ribosomal RNA
Rfam family: Bacterial small subunit ribosomal RNA
Source: RNAcentral
AACGAACGCUGGCGGCAUGCCUAACACAUGCAAGUCGAACGAGACCUUCGGGUCUAGUGGCGCACGGGUGCGUAACGCGUGGGAAUCUGCCCUCGGGUGCGGAAUAACAGGUAGAAAGGACUGCUAAUACCGCAUAAUGACUCCGGUCCAAAGAUUCAUCGCCCAGCGCUGAGCCGCCGUCGGAUUAGCUAGUUGGUAGGUGAAAAUGCUACCAAGGCAACGAUCCGUCGCUGGUCUGAGAGAAUGAUCAGCCACACUGGGACUGGGACACGGCCCAGACUCCUACGGGAGGCAGCAGUGGGGAAUAUUGGACAAUGGGCGAAAGCCUGAUCCAGCAAUGCCGCGGGAGUGAUGAAGGCCUUAGGGUUUUAAAGCUCUUUUACCCGGGAUGAUAAUGACAGUACCGGGAGAAUAAGCCCCGGCUAACUCUGUGCCAGCCGCCGCCGUAA